UACGUAGGUGGCGAGCGUUGUCCGGAUUUACUGGGCGUAAAGGGCGUGCAGGCGGUUUGUUAAGUGCAGGGUGAAAGCUCCCGGCUCAACUGGGAGAGGUCCUUGCAUACUGGCGAACUCGAGGGAGGCAGAGGAAAGUGGAAUUCCCGGUGUAGUGGUGAUAUGCGUAGAUAUCGGGAGGAACACCUGUGGCGAAGGCGGCUUUCUGGGCCUUACCUGACGCUGAGACGCGAAAGCGUGGGUAGCAAACAGG
RNAcentral lists this ribosomal RNA (253 nucleotides) under uncultured bacterium. RNAcentral describes it as "partial 16S ribosomal RNA". It matches the Rfam family "Bacterial small subunit ribosomal RNA", at positions 524 to 776 of the family's 1533-position model. The record is from RNAcentral.